Long non-coding RNA from Oncorhynchus kisutch (coho salmon), 2740 nucleotides. RefSeq lists it as uncharacterized. The transcript is spliced from 2 exons. The record is from RefSeq and is a predicted model, not a curated record. NCBI's taxonomy places the organism in Eukaryota, Metazoa, Chordata, Actinopteri, Salmoniformes, Salmonidae.
AGGAGAGAUCAAAACAGCCCUUGACAGUGCAGGUGUGUGUUGGUGUUUUUGAGCAGGCGUGUGUGUUCUUCGGACACAGGAGAGAGCUGCUACCGCCGCACUCAGCCCAGUGGAGGACACCAAGGCCAGAGUGAGAGAAGGAGAGAGAGAAGGGACAUAGAGCCAGGUUGCUAAAAAAUAAACUCCUCAGGGUUGUUGGAGAGUUGAUCUGGUUUCUACUGGGAAAAGGUUCUAGAGACCGCUAAGAUGUUUUUCCGCAUCCCUCGACUGACCCCUGGAUACAUCAGAUACUUGCAGACUCAAGCUGCCCAGACCGUGCUGCAGAGCCGGGAAGGCCCCUUGAUGUCGAGGGUGGCCAUGCUGCUAGGGCUGAUGGGAGUUGGGAUGUCUGGGUACAGCUCACGACAGCUCACCCUGCACUGCAAGCCCUCCGCUAACCUGCUGAGAUGAGGCAAGACACAACACCUCUGACCUUCCACCCUGAAGACGACAACAUGGAUAAGAUUGAUUACUGGUGCAUAUCCAAUACCCCUGGAUUCCACUUACACUACAAGAAUAAUUAGUCUCUGUUUCCUAAAACGGUUUUGUUUUAGUUGAGUUUUUGUUUGUUACCCUUGCACCUUUGAUUUCCCCCAUUGUGGUUGAAGUUUGGGACGAACCAAGUUCAGAUUCUUAUUCUGAAAAGUUUAACAUUGAAGAUCGAUACUUUAAGGUUCCACACGCGCAGUUAUGACCAUAUAAGAUUAUCCCUCCAUUUAAAAAAAUCAAUAUUCUUUUAAACUACCUCUCCCUUUCAAACCAGUUAAAGUGUCAUUCAUCCAACAUACAUCAAUCCAUUCUUAUUGAGCUGUUUUCUUGAGCUGGUAACAUCCUCAACUUUAACCACCCAUUUUCUUUUUGUAAUUCUGUGCCUUAAAGGGAGCGAUCCAUUAAAAUCAGUUUAAAACACCAAAUGGUGUUACCUCACGCUAACCCAAGAAGACCCUAACCCAAGAAAUAAAGACAUCGCAAUGGAGAAAUAUUAAAUAUGUCAAAUAUUUUUCAAAACCUGCCGAAAUUCCCCAGUCCGCCUGUUUAUUGCCAUUCUCUUGUCUGUGUUUGGCAAGGCAUGUACACAGAGAUUAGCACCUCUGUCUUAGGGAAGGUAUCCAGUGUUUUCCUGAAUAAUGUAACGAGUGGCAGGAAAGGAGAGCGAAAUCAAAAUGGUAGCAUCUUGGAACUCUGAGAAUCCAGUUGGUCAUAGGGAUUAUAAAAAUGUUUUUUUGUCUGUUAUCAUCAAUGCUCUUGAUUCUGGAGACAAGAUUCCUUCAUUUGGUACUUGCUUUACCUUCUUUGUCUGCUAUGUUUGCAUGCAAAGAAAUACAGGAAAAAUCAUUUGACCAAGAUUCAAAAUGUACUCAACCGACCUGCUUCAAAUUGUAUUUUCUAAUAUCUUUUUUUAUUUGGUCAAGCCCAACUUUUUUCCAUUGAACCUUUUUGAUUUUGCACAGUGAAAAGAUUGAUAUUUUUACAUACAUUCUUUUCACCAAAACACUCUGACACUUUGCACUUUUUUAAGAAUGUAUGUGUGUGUACAUAAUAUGUACAUAAUGUACAUAUCUGAAUUAUUGAAGCUUGAAGAGAUUAGUAGAUGGUUAAGUGACAUGGAAAGUGACGCCAGAUUGGUUUGAGAACUAGUCUGGGUGGAAUCCAGCUGGAUUCACACACGGCACCACAGUUUGGUAUCAGGCAUCCAGGACAGCCACCCUGGAUGGACCUCACUGGACAAAUGCCACCGUAUGUGUGAAUUCACCGAGAUUCCUCCAAGUUGUCCUCCAUGUUUGUCAGAAUUGGGAUGUUUAGAUUAAUGGCCAUAUGGUCUCUUAACAUAGCUAGUAUGAAAUACUAUUUAUAUUUCCUUUAGAUUCAGAACAUGCAGUACACACUUUGUAAUAAGGGAAAUAAAUUUAACACGACAGCAUAUGAAUGUAUCACCGACACAAUGUAUGUUUCUUAGUGGUAUACUGUAAUUGUAAACAUGAACGUACUGUAGGUUACUGUGUCAUAACCAUGGGAUCCCACUAGUCUGGUUUAGAGGAAACAGUGGAUGUAACCAGACCUUAGAUUUACACUGGAUUCUCCAAUAGAACAGAUUACCAUGCCGUUGGUAGUUGUCCAGUGAUCCAGUGGUCUUCCGGUGAUCCAGUAGUCUUCCAGUGAUCCAAUUAGGAGAAGUGUCUCUUUUAUGUCCAGCUUCACCAGUAUAAAGGGUUAGUGACCCUAAAUAGUGACCCUAAAUAGUGACCCUAAAUAGAGACCCUGCUAUAGAGACCCUGCUAUAGAGACCCAGACCAGUGAGAGGAACAUAGUAGGAGUUCUGAAACCCCUAGUUUAUCUUAGUCAAUGUAAUGUUACAUGAACUUGGUGAAGAACUGACACAGAAUUCAAUUCGGGAACAUGAUUGAUAUUGAAAGCUGCAAUGGGGGAGUGAUGUUAUCUCUAUACACAGUGUAAAGGGUCAUUGCUGUUUAAUAGCUAUAGUACACUACAGUGCUGUUUGUUUUACACGGUUACAUUUCAUACCAAAAGGCUUACAAUAGGCCUAUCUUUGUAUUGUUGCUAAAUGUAACAAUGUUGUUUAGGAAUGCCAUAGUGAAUUGAAGAAUUAUGACUGCUUCACAAAGCACCCUUGAAUAUCUAUUCAUGUUUAUUGUUAUGAUACAGCAUGUAUCAAUACUAUGAAUAAAAACCUAUAAACGGA